AUGGCAGGAAGUAGUUUAAGUAGAAUGUCAGCUUUGGGUGCUGAUGGUGGGGCGUAAGGUCUUCUUC
RNAcentral lists this transfer RNA (67 nucleotides) under Myrmecobius fasciatus (numbat). RNAcentral's name for it is "tRNA-Pro". Lineage: Eukaryota; Metazoa; Chordata; Mammalia; Dasyuromorphia; Myrmecobiidae. The record is from RNAcentral.